Molecule: long non-coding RNA, 381 nt
Filed under: Naja naja (Indian cobra)
Lineage: Eukaryota; Metazoa; Chordata; Lepidosauria; Squamata; Elapidae
Description: lncRNA (ENSNNAG00000002951.1)
Source: RNAcentral
GAAACUUUUAACUUUCAGACUCAGAUCAACGAUAAUUUAUCUGAUGAAAACUUGGAGAGUAGCCUGGAAGAUGCCAAGAAAGUAAUUCAGAAAGACUCUCUAGUGCCUAGUACUGGUCAGAAUAGCUCCAAUCUACACCUCAGAGAGAAAUCCAAUUUCCAAGGAGAUAAGUCAUCUACAAUCAAGCCUGCUCAGUUGAUAAGAGGGCGAUUCCAGAGAGCCAAAUUUAAUGUUGGAAGGACCAAUUGCAAAAACGAAGUACCUGUAUCAGAAGAUAUUAGUGUUCCAAUUGUGGAAGAAGUAAAAGAGAUGGAGAUUAGCAAGAAAGAUGAUCUAUAUCUAAUUUCAGAGGAUGAAGUCAUUGUCCAGGCAUCCCCAGAU